CGGACGGGUGAGUAACGCGUGGGCAACCUGCCCUGUACAGGGGGAUAACACUUAGAAAUAGGUGCUAAUACCGCAUGAGCGCACAAAGGCGCAUGCCUGUGUGCGGGAAGCCCGCGAGGGCGGUACGGGAUGGGCCCGCGUCUGAUUAGCCAGUUGGCAGGGUAACGGCCUACCAAAGCGACGAUCAGUAGCCGGCCUGAGAGGGUGGACGGCCACAUUGGGACUGAGACACGGCCCAAACUCCUACGGAAGGCAGCAG
This 259-nucleotide ribosomal RNA is filed under the name uncultured bacterium. Its description in RNAcentral is "partial 16S ribosomal RNA". It matches the Rfam family "Bacterial small subunit ribosomal RNA", at positions 99 to 354 of the family's 1533-position model. The record is from RNAcentral.